This 876-nucleotide long non-coding RNA is filed under the name Mus musculus (house mouse). RNAcentral's name for it is "long non-coding RNA chr16:94448147-94449023". Lineage: Eukaryota; Metazoa; Chordata; Mammalia; Rodentia; Muridae. The record is from RNAcentral.
GGUAAACCUCCCUGAGACUCGGUGAUGGCUGCGGUGAGUGGCAGUGUUUGUCAGCCUCAGUCAGCUGAGCUGCACCAGUGGCCACACAAGAACUCCUUCUCAGGAGCCUCUCUCACUUUUCCCUGCAGCACACCCAGUGGCAGUGCUCCUUGUAGUGAUGUAGAACCUUACCAACUGUUUUGAGAAAAGGACUAUAAAUCUGGGAUUUAAUUUAAUUGCCUUGUCUGUUUGACUGAAACUCUUCUGUGUUUAAUUCCAAGUUAAAUUCCUGUCUGCGUUGUGAGGCACUAUCAGAGGAGAGGUCACAAAUGUGAGCCUGCAGCCACUCGUGGUUCCGUCUAGAACUCUUCCGACAGAGCAGUUAGCUUACUUAAUAUCACUGAACUUAGUUUGCUUAUCUGGAAGACUUGGGGUAAAACUCUGUGGUAAAGAAUGAGGGUUAAUAAGUAAUUGACUCUGUUCCUAUCCCUCAUCUUCAUGAGGAAAUGUCAGAAUAACUCAUGGAGCCUGUGCUGUAUUCAAGUCUCUGGAGUAUCUGGUUUGAAUUCUAUUAGUUGAGACUGACCAUCAGUUAUUUAGUGAAGUGGUACCAGUUGGCAAAAAAAAAAAAAAAAGGUGGCUUUAGUGGCAAGGAGAUUACAGGUGUGAGAAAAUGAUGUUCCUUUUCAUAAAGGGAAUGGAGAGACCCAUUUAAGAAGGAAAAAAUGGUUUGAGAAGUCAGAAUUAACAUCUGGAAUAAUACAUUAAGUAGUAGGAAAUUAGCUUAAUUAGGAAACUUGUCUAUUAGAAUUGGAGUAUACCUGGAAGAAAGGAGAUAGAGUAAGUGUGGCAGCACUCCCAGGACCUGUUCACAGAGAUCGGCCUAGGGAUACCAGU